Molecule: transfer RNA, 78 nt
Filed under: Candidatus Bathyarchaeota archaeon
Lineage: Archaea; Thermoproteati; Candidatus Bathyarchaeota
Description: tRNA-Lys
Rfam family: tRNA
About the family: Transfer RNA (tRNA) molecules are approximately 80 nucleotides in length. Their secondary structure includes four short double-helical elements and three loops (D, anti-codon, and T loops).
Source: RNAcentral
GCGGUCGUCGUCUAGUCUGGUUUAGGACACAGAAGCCCUUUGAGCCUGCGAUCCCGGGUUCGAAUCCCGGCGACCGCA